GGUAGUAGCAAAUACUCAAAAGAGAGCUUUGAAGGCCGAAAUGGAGAAGGGUUCCAUGUGAACAGCAGUUUAACAUUGGUCAGCCGGUCCUACGGGAUGGGCGAACACCAUUCAGAAGCGCUGGGCGAUGGCCUCGGUGGCCCCAGCCGAUCGAAAGGGAGUUUGGUUCAGAUCCCCAAACCUGUAGCGGCAGAGAUAGGCGUCAUGAGGCGCCCAGUGCAGUAACGCAAACGAACCCGGAGAAGCUGGCGGGAGCCCCGGGGAGAGUUCUCUUUUCUUUGUGAAGGGCAGGGCGCCCUGGAAUGGGUUUGCUCCGAGAGAGGGGCCCGUGCCCUGGAAAGCGUCGCUCGACACCCUACCUAAGGAGAGCCCAGUCAUGGUUGAUCAAGCCAUGCUGUGUGUCCGAGACAAAAAGAAGAGUUAAAUCGAGUUAAAUGAAAUUGAGACUGAGCUUUUUAUAUUCGUGCAGGAUCAUGUGUGAAGUCUUAAACA
This 492-nucleotide non-coding RNA is filed under the name Poecilia formosa (Amazon molly). Its description in RNAcentral is "Eukaryotic large subunit ribosomal RNA". It matches the Rfam family "Eukaryotic large subunit ribosomal RNA", at positions 1456 to 1791 of the family's 3401-position model. The record is from Rfam by way of RNAcentral. Lineage: Eukaryota; Metazoa; Chordata; Actinopteri; Cyprinodontiformes; Poeciliidae.